RNAcentral lists this transfer RNA (73 nucleotides) under Candidatus Woesearchaeota archaeon. RNAcentral's name for it is "tRNA-Val". It matches the Rfam family "tRNA". From Rfam's summary of the family: Transfer RNA (tRNA) molecules are approximately 80 nucleotides in length. Lineage: Archaea; Nanobdellati; Candidatus Woesearchaeota. The record is from RNAcentral.
GGGCUCAUGAUCUAGUGGUUAGGAUAUCUCGUUGACGUCGAGAAAGUCCCCAGUUCGAAUCUGGGUGGGCCCA